This 549-nucleotide ribosomal RNA is filed under the name Lodderomyces parapsilosis. RNAcentral's name for it is "Candida parapsilosis partial large subunit ribosomal RNA". It matches the Rfam family "Eukaryotic large subunit ribosomal RNA", at positions 90 to 656 of the family's 3401-position model. Lineage: Eukaryota; Fungi; Ascomycota; Pichiomycetes; Serinales; Debaryomycetaceae. The record is from RNAcentral.
CGAGUGAGCGGCAAAAGCUCAAAUUUGAAAUCUGGCACUUUCAGUGUCCGAGUUGUAAUUUGAAGAAGGUAUCUUUGGGUCUGGCUCUUGUCUAUGUUUCUUGGAACAGAACGUCACAGAGGGUGAGAAUCCCGUGCGAUGAGAUGUCCCAGACCUAUGUAAAGUUCCUUCGAAGAGUCGAGUUGUUUGGGAAUGCAGCUCUAAGUGGGUGGUAAAUUCCAUCUAAAGCUAAAUAUUGGCGAGAGACCGAUAGCGAACAAGUACAGUGAUGGAAAGAUGAAAAGAACUUUGAAAAGAGAGUGAAAAAGUACGUGAAAUUGUUGAAAGGGAAGGGCUUGAGAUCAGACUUGGUAUUUUGUAUGUUACUCUCUCGGGGGUGGCCUCUACAGUUUACCGGGCCAGCAUCAGUUUGAGCGGUAGGAUAAGUGCAAAGAAAUGUGGCACUGCUUCGGUAGUGUGUUAUAGUCUUUGUCGAUACUGCCAGCUUAGACUGAGGACUGCGGCUUCGGCCUAGGAUGUUGGCAUAAUGAUCUUAAGUCGCCCGUCUUA